GUGCCAGCAGCCGCGGUAAUACGUAGGGGUCGAGCGUUGUCCGGAGUUACUGGGCGUAAAGCGUGCGCAGGCGGCUUGUUGCGCCCGGCGUGAAAGCCCCCGGCUCAACCGGGGAGGGUCGUCGGGGACGGGCAAGCUUGAGGGUAUCAGGGGCUGGUGGAAUUCCCGGUGUAGUGGUGAAAUGCGUAGAGAUCGGGAGGAACACCCGUGGCGAAGGCGGCCAGCUGGGAUACACCUGACGCUGAGGCACGAAGGCGUGGGGAGCGAACGGGAUUAGAUACCCCUGUAGUCC
RNAcentral lists this ribosomal RNA (292 nucleotides) under uncultured bacterium. RNAcentral describes it as "partial 16S ribosomal RNA". It matches the Rfam family "Bacterial small subunit ribosomal RNA", at positions 505 to 796 of the family's 1533-position model. The record is from RNAcentral.